UACGAAGGGGGCUAGCGUUGCUCGGAAUCACUGGGCGUAAAGCGCACGUAGGCGGAUGUGCCAGUCAGGGGUGAAAUCCCGGAGCUCAACUUCGGAACUGCCUCUGAUACAGCACGUCUUGAGUCCGGAAGAGGUGGGUGGAAUUCCUAGUGUAGAGGUGAAAUUCGUAGAUAUUAGGAAGAACGCCGGUGGCGAAGGCGGCCCACUGGUCCGGUACUGACGCUGAGGUGCGAAAGCGUGGGGAGCAAACAGG
RNAcentral lists this ribosomal RNA (253 nucleotides) under uncultured bacterium. RNAcentral's name for it is "partial 16S ribosomal RNA". It matches the Rfam family "Bacterial small subunit ribosomal RNA", at positions 524 to 776 of the family's 1533-position model. The record is from RNAcentral.